AUUAAACGCUGGCGGCGUGCCUUACACAUGCAAGUCGAACGGCAGCACGGGGGCAACCCUGGUGGCGAGUGGCGAACGGGUGAGUAAAGCAUCGGAACGUGCCCUGGAGUGGGGGAUAACGUAGCGAAAGUUACGCUAAUACCGCAUAUUCUGUGAGCAGGAAAGCAGGGGAUCGCAAGACCUUGCGCUCUGGGAGCGGCCGAUGUCGGAUUAGCUAGUUGGUGGGGUAAAGGCCUACCAGGCGACGAUCCGUAGCGGGUCUGAGAGGAUGAUCCGCCACACUGGGACUGAGACACGGCCCAGACUCCUACGGGAGGCAGCAGUGGGGAAUUUUGGACAAUGGGCGCAAGCCUGAUCCAGCCAUGCCGCGUGAAUGAAGAAGACCUCGGUUG
RNAcentral lists this ribosomal RNA (392 nucleotides) under uncultured bacterium. RNAcentral describes it as "bacterial SSU rRNA". It matches the Rfam family "Bacterial small subunit ribosomal RNA", at positions 29 to 425 of the family's 1533-position model. The record is from RNAcentral.